AUGUUGCAACCAAUGGCGACGAGGGCCGCAGAACGCCCACGAGAUGCAGCUUCAACGGUGACGGCGGGGUUGCGAGCACGUCGACGACGAGACGAGCGAGGAGCAGCGUCCUCUUCACGGGAGGGUAGACACAGGGGGAGGGGGGAUCGAUCGGUGCAGCGGGGCGGCCGGCGACGAAUCAACCGGCGACGAGGACGGCGACUGGCGACCGGAGGCGAGGAUGGCGACCGACGGCAACGAGGAUGGCGACCGGCGACCGGAGGCGAGGACGGCGACUGGCGACCGGGGGCGAGGAUGGCGACCUGCGGCGAGCUGGUGAUGCUUCAAGGUCAGCCCUCUAAGAGUCCAUGA
RNAcentral lists this ribosomal RNA (351 nucleotides) under Triticum aestivum (bread wheat). RNAcentral describes it as "partial small subunit ribosomal RNA". The record is from RNAcentral. Lineage: Eukaryota; Viridiplantae; Streptophyta; Magnoliopsida; Poales; Poaceae.